GCCGCCGGCCCCCGCGGCUGCAGCUGCCCCCGGGGGAUGCGGGAUGCGGGAUGCAGGCUGGCCGGUUGCCGUGGCGACCGGCGGGCGCCGGCAGCCCCUGCCUGCCCGCUCCCAUCUAGGCGGGAGGGUGGCUCGGUGCCCGCGUUCGAGGCUGGGAGAGGCUCGUAGGGCUCCGCAGGGCUGAGGCGGGGCGCGCUCCCCGGCCACGCGCGCCUGGGUUGCGGCUCCGCAUCCCCGCCAUCCAUCCCAGCGGCUCUACCCGCAGCUUUGCCGGGGCAGCCCCUCUCUCCAGCCCGCAGAGCCUCGCCGGGAGUCGGGCCUGCACUCCGACACCUGGGCGGGAGCUGAGCAUCCUCUGAAAUGCGUCAAAUAAACAUCUGCGCGCUCUGCGGGAACUACACCUUUCUUUCUAGCCGGCGUGUGCGGAAGGUCAUGGCUUAGCCUACCAGCCUGUGCCUUGAGGAGCGUGCGAACCCCAGUGUCCCCCCAACAAACCAGCCCCGUGAGAGAGAACAGCUGCCCUACCGGCUCAGACCUUCCUCCUCACACCCCAAGUGCUUUCUAUCCAGCAAAACUCCUGCUUUCUUUGGUGGGAAAACGAUAAGGAGGAGGGACUGUGAUGGUGUGUGAAGUAUUUUAAACUUAGAAAAGAUUAAUCAGAGAUCACUUGGACCUGUGGAAGAUUAAAGAUAAUUCUGCCCUACCCUGAAAUACAAGAGUUUGGAAAGAAGAGUGAAUACACAUGAAGAGGCAGCAUGAAAAUUUGAAUUAUAAAAGCUCUCAUUCUUCCAUCAGACUCUACGGAAAAGGCUUCUGGGCAAAGGAAGCGAGAAGUAAGUGUGGAGUUAAACUUUAUAUAGCAAGAGUUUCAACUUGGCCAAACAGUUCAACAUCAGACAACUCAUGCCUCCUACCUUUCCCUCUGUAACCCAGAGGAUUGCCAUGGUCUUCAUCUAUGGAAGGAGAGCCUAAAAGUGCAACAGCAGUACGUUCAACGGCUUGAAUACUGAAGUCAGGAUUGUACCAUCUAACCAUAAUAUAGUUGGAACAUGCAAAAUGGGCAAAACCAAACUCUCUGAAGCUGAAUCUAGGAAGAUACUGACCUUGUCAUAUAUGUGUAUGAAAUGUAGGUCUCUCAAAGUUACAAAUGCAUUACACGUAUUUGGGGCCAUAAACUGCUUUAAAAUCUGUUGUGGCCUUUGACUGCGAAAAAGAUGUCUCAUUAUGAGAAAACAGGGGCAUCAUGACAUCUACAGCUGUCAGAUGCUUGUGAUGCAAAGUCAAGAAAGGUCAGUGAGACCUAACUACAGCUCUGUGAGCCAGAAAAUAGAUUGUGAUUUGCAUAUCCUCUCUGGUGUUAAGCAUGUAAAUAAAUGGGUUGAAGUACUAGAAACAUUCCUGGAACAGCUAAAAUUGUGCAAGUUUUCAACCUAAUGUGCUCUCUUUAAAAAAAGACAAAUAGAUUUUCAUGCCACUAUUCCACAUUUUAAUAUAUGACUCCUCUGUGACAGAUCCCUAGAUUUGUUAAGUACAGUGCAAAGUAACGAGAAGCACAAAGGGCCAGAUUAAAUAGAAGUUUAUUUAAUAGUGUUGAUUUGCAGAUUCUGUUCUGCCACAGACAGAUCAGUCUGAAAUUAUUUCCCUGGUUUCAGGGGAAUGUUGACAGUUUUACAAUGCAAUAGUGGCAAAAUUCAAGUCAGAGCCUUCUUUUUAUACAUUCAUGUAAUACGUAUACAGACUAAACAUGACAAAAUGUUUCCCUUUUCUUCUUCGUGCUGCCCUUGGACUUCCUGAGAUGUGGUUUGACUCUGUUAGUCAACAGUACUUGCUUUUAGCCAACUUUAAAGACCAGAAGACAUAAAUGAUAAAAUGUUCUGAAUUAAGAGAGCAAGUUAGCUCUGGAACAUAGUUUGGUUUCCUGUUUACUAUGCUUUUUCCUGUACGAUAGUAAGUAGGAACUUAUUUCAAGGAAGGUAAGCCCUGGGCUCCAAAAGCUCUUCAAAAGGAUAUAGGACAUUAGUCCCCAUAUUCUCUUGUCCCUGCAGACACUACUUCAUAUCAUCGCAAGCAUAGAGCUUGUGCAAUCUUUCCAACAUGAAUUAGGAGACUAUCACCUAUAACUUACUUCCACAUCUCUCUCUGCUAUGUGAUUGACCACUGGGCUGAGUUCCUGGAUUUGAUGCUAAAAUUGCAAAUUAGCAGUAAAGUCAACUUGUAAGUAGACUUGUGGUAGUCAGUCAUUUUCUUGGAGUUUUGUCUUGGGAUAUUCUUCAAGACAGCAUUUUGCUAUAAGCUGACCGAUUAAAUUGCAUAUUGAGUGAUGCCCUUUUAUAUUUCACUACUAGUGUUAAUCAGUGUGAAAUCAAUGCCUAGAUAGUUAUUGGCAUAUACUAUCUGGAGAUAUAAUCAGAGGCAACAUAGCAUUCACCUUCCGGCUUGCUAAGAGUAGACAGUAAUUGCCUCUAAAUCAUGACGUGAAAAUCCAAUGCUAAGUGAAUAUUGAACCACACAAAGCUCUUAUUACAGCAAUAGGCACACAAGCACACAGCCUUGUAGGCUUGAGGGAGAGAACUGUUAUCCAAAUGUAUGUCUUUUAAGGCUUUUGGAAAUUGCUCUUACACUAAAUGGAAAAUCUAUCAGAAAGACAAAGUUUUUCCCAAGAUGUAUUUUUGAAAAAGGAUUUAAAAGAACGGCAUUGCGAAGUUCUGUGUUUGGAUUUCAGUAGCUUCAGUCUACAAAUAAAAAAUCUUGGGUGAAAUAUAAUAACCAAGGCUACAGAUUCAUCUGGUUUCUGUUAGUUUGGAUUCUUCACUAUUUAUGGUGUACUGUAGGGUAAGCAGAAAGGAAAAAGAUGAAAAUGUUUAGGAGAUUGUCAUGAUGAUGAUGGUGCUUUAAAGAACAAUGAUUAUUUAUAGGGAUACAUUCUGAAUGUAUUUAGUUGGCUUGAUUUUAAACAUACUUAGCAGAAGCCUUACUUUCAGUACUACUGUAAGCCUUCCAGAUUUCAGCAGUACAUUGACUGGACCUAUGCAACUCUUUUCCCUCACAUUGUGUUGCCACAGUUGCAGCCAGCAGAACUGAUUUUGAGUCUCAUUGAUAUGAAAAGAGCAGGAGGUUUCUACCAUAUCCCUUUUUUUUCAUUUUGCUUUUUCUCUGCUUUGACCUGUAAGAGCUUGGAUUGCUGCACAUAAGCUGUACUGGUUUGCCCGUUUUAUGGAGGGUUUUUUUUCUGGGCUUGUAAGGAACAGCAAG
Molecule: long non-coding RNA, 3252 nt
Organism: Cuculus canorus (common cuckoo)
Lineage: Eukaryota; Metazoa; Chordata; Aves; Cuculiformes; Cuculidae
Exons: 3
Source: RefSeq, a predicted model, not a curated record